This is a long non-coding RNA of Mus musculus (house mouse), 254 nucleotides long. RefSeq annotates it as predicted gene, 36076. The record is from RefSeq and is a predicted model, not a curated record. The transcript is spliced from 3 exons. NCBI's taxonomy places the organism in Eukaryota, Metazoa, Chordata, Mammalia, Rodentia, Muridae.
AGACAAAAACUAACAGAACUCAGCCUGUCUGCCUAUCGACAUCAUCUCAUCCAUAGCACCAAUGUGGGAUGACAGAGAGUGCAACUCAAAUUUUAGUCUUGACUUUGGAGCAGUCUCAUAGCUACAGCAUAAGGGAUGGGGGCUGGUGAACUGAGAGAAGCAAGAGCCAUCCAUGGAAGGCUCAGAACAGGCUCUGCCUGUAUGUUUGCUGAACAGUAUUGUUUGUUUAUGUAGUGGAUUACAUUGAUGGAUUU